Dipodomys ordii (Ord's kangaroo rat) is the source of this 158-nucleotide non-coding RNA. Lineage: Eukaryota; Metazoa; Chordata; Mammalia; Rodentia; Heteromyidae. The record is from Rfam.
AAGUUCCGCGGACUGCACUUUGCUCUGAGUUAUUUUUGGUGAUUUUUUUUAAAGUGAUUUCCUUCCCCCUCCCCCCCCCCCCCCGCGGAGUCCUGGUGGCGCAGCACUCGCGGACAGGUUACCCCGUCUCUCCCGCUAGAUUGAUGAGAUCGGGCAUC